RNAcentral lists this long non-coding RNA (798 nucleotides) under Vulpes vulpes (red fox). Its description in RNAcentral is "lncRNA (ENSVVUG00000014189.1)". Lineage: Eukaryota; Metazoa; Chordata; Mammalia; Carnivora; Canidae. The record is from RNAcentral.
GUCAGACUUAUUAGCUCCAGGCAUCACUUGCUUUCCUAUGUAUACUUUUCUACAGUGUAACUGCCAAGCAAAAUGACAAAAAGGCAAAUUUGCAAAGGAACAAGUUAGUGUUAUUGUUGUUGGUUGGGUAUUGUUCUCAAAGGAGCUGAAAUUCUUCUAUUUUAUCAACAAAAUGUGGUAUAAAGGAAUAUAUUGGCAGUGUGUAUCACCGCUAAGGCAGAAGUAUGUAGAAUGCUAUGUGAAUUUAAUAGUCAUAAGGACACAUUCUAAAAGAAUACGUAGUAUCUGUGUUUCCUGCCAAACAAGGAAAAAGUCACACUGGCUCAAAUCUCCAGGAAUGACUUGUAUGUUUCUUGUUCUUCUUGACAUCUGCGGUUUAGCUGAUAGUCACAAAGAACCUUCUAUUCGUCAUCCAACUUGGGCUCCAGAGAAUUCUUGCAAUUCCAUCAGGGACUGUUGAGAGAACUGUUUCAGGAAUGUGAGUCCAUUAAAGCAGAGAUGAUGUAUCCCCAGUAACUGACACAGUACUUAACACAUGGUAAGUACUCAAUACACUUUUGUAGGGUUAAUGAACAAUUUUUCAUCCAUUCCACAGAAGCAGAAUGAUCAUGCUUCAUCAUAUGAUGUGAAGUAUGUCCUAUGCUAAAUGAUCUCUUGCUGCCAAAUUGUCAAGCAAGUAUAUUAGUUUUUCAUGAACUCUGAAAGAAAUGGAUUAAUGACCUGCCUUUAGUAGAUUUUUAUUAACAGAUCACAUAAUGAAUGUAACAUUAAAAUGUAGCAUUAAUAAUAACAACAAUA